AAGUAACCAAGGGCAUACGGUGGAUGCCUUGGCUCUUAGAGUCGACGAAGGACGUGCUAAGCUGCGAUAAGCUGCGGGUAGGUGCAAAGAACCUCUGAUCCGUAGAUUUCCGAAUGGGGCAACCCAAUCCCGUGAAGCGGGAUUACUCAGUAAUGAGAGGCAACCCAGGGAACUGAAACAUCUAAGUACCUGGAGGAAAAGAAAACAAUUUAGUGAUUCCCUAAGUAGUGGCGAGCGAACGGGGAACAGCCCAAACUUCUUUAACUACGGUUAAAGGAGGGUUGUAGGACCACACAUGAAAACAGAUAAAAAGCAGAAGCAUCUGGAAAGUUGCACCAUAGAAGGUGAUAGUCCUGUAAGCGUAACGAUCUGUUGGAUAGUGGUAUCCUGAGUACCGCGAGGUCGGAGACGCCUUGUGGGAAACUGCCGGCACCAUCCGGUAAGGCUAAAUACUCCUAAGAGACCGAUAGCGAACCAGUACCGUGAGGGAAAGGUGAAAAGCACCCCGAACAGGGGAGUGAAAUAGUACCUGAAACCGUAUGUCUACAAUCAGUCGAAGCCGCAAGGCGACGGCGUGCCUUUUGCAUAAUGAGCCUACGAGUUACACCUCACCGGCAAGGUUAAUGACUUCAGGUCAAAAGCCGCAGCGAAAGCGAGUUCUAACAGAGCGCUUAGUCGGUGGGGGUAGACGCGAAACCUAAGUGAUCUACCCAUGAGCAGGUUGAAGCCCCGGUAACACGGGGUGGAGGACCGAACUAAUUAGCGUUGAAAAGCUACUGGAUGACUUGUGGGUAGGGGUGAAAGGCUAAUCAAACUGGGAGAUAGCUCGUACUCCCCGAAAUGUUUUUAGGAACAGCCUCAAGAUAUUUGUCAAAGAGGUAGAGCUACCGAUUGGGCUAGGGGGCUUCACCGCCUACCAAACCCUGACGAACUCCGAAUACUUUGACAUGAACUUGGGAGUGAGGCUUAGGGUGCUAAGGUCCUAAGCCGAGAGGGAAACAACCCAGACCAUCAGCUAAGGUCCCUAAAUGUAUGUUAAGUUGAUCAAACGAUGUUUAAUUGCUAAGACAGCUAGGAUGUUUGCUUGGAAGCAGCCAUUCAUUUAAAGAGUGCGUAACAGCUCACUAGUCGAGUGAUUAAGCGCGGAAAAUAAUCGGGCAUAAAACAUACUACCGAAGCUAUGGACUCCGUAAGGAGUGGUAGGGGAGCAUUCUGAACUGCUGCGAAGGUGAUUCGUGAGAAUUGCUGGAGCGUUCAGAAAAGCAGAUGUAGGCAUAAGUAACGAUAAACAAGGUGAAAAACCUUGUCGCCGAAAGACUAAGGGUUCCUGAUCUACGUUAAUCGGAUCAGGGUUAGUCGGGUCCUAAGGUAUAGCCGAACGGCGAAGCCGAUGGGAAAAUGGUUAAUAUUCCAUUACCUGCGUGUAAUGUGAUGGGGUGACGAAGUAGUGAAAGGUCUGCGUACUGACGGAUUAGUACGUUAAAGCCGGUAGGUAUAAGUUGUACAGGUAAACCCGUACGGCUUGCUGAAUGGCGACAGUACCGUGAGUCUUCGGACAAGCGGAUAAUGACCCUAAUCAGACUUCCAAGAAAAACCUCUAAACUUCAGUUGCAUGCAGCCCGUACCGUAAACCGACACAGGUAGUCGAGAUGAGAAUUCUAAGGCGCUCGAGUGAGCCGUGGUUAAGGAACUCGGCAAAUUAACCCUGUAACUUCGGGAUAAAGGGUGCCCCUGUAAAGGGGCCGCAGUGAAUAGGCCCAGGCGACUGUUUAACAAAAACACAGGGCCCUGCUAAAUCGAAAGAUGACGUAUAGAGCCUGAUACCUGCCCGGUGCUGGAAGGUUAAGGAAGGUGGUUAGCCGCAAGGCGAAGCUACUGACUGAAGCCCCAGUAAACGGCGGCCGUAACUAUAACGGUCCUAAGGUAGCGAAAUUCCUUGUCGGGUAAGUUCCGACCUGCACGAAUGGUCUAACGAUCUGGGCACUGUCUCAACCACGAGCUCGGUGAAAUUGUAGUUCCGGUGAAGAUGCCGGAUACCCGUCACGGGACGGAAAGACCCCAUGAACCUUCACUAUAACUUAACAUUGAAUUUGAGUAAAAGAUGUGUAGAAUAGGUGGGAGGCUUUGAAGCUGCGACGCUAGUCGUGGUGGAGCCAUCGUUGAAAUACCACCCUUCUUUUACUUAGAUUCUAACUCCGCACCCGCGGAGAACAGUGUUAGGCGGGUAGUUUGACUGGGGUGGUCGCCUCCUAAAAUGUAACGGAGGCUUUCAAAGGUACCCUCAGCACGCUUGGUAACCGUGCGUAGAGUGCAUUAGCACAAGGGUGCUUGACUGCAAGACCGACAAGUCGAGCAGGUGCGAAAGCAGGAUAAAGUGAUCCGGUGGUUCCGCAUGGAAGGGCCAUCGCUCAAAGGAUAAAAGGUACUCUGGGGAUAACAGGCUGAUCUCCCCCAAGAGCUCAUAUCGACGGGGAGGUUUGGCACCUCGAUGUCGGCUCGUCACAUCCUGGGGCUGGAGAAGGUCCCAAGGGUUCGGCUGUUCGCCGAUUAAAGUGGCACGUGAGCUGGGUUCAGAACGUCGCAAGACAGUUCGGUCCCUAUCUGUGAUGGGCGUUGAAAAUUUGAGGAGAGCUGACUCUAGUACGAGAGGACCGAGUUGGACGAACCUCUGGUGUACCGGUUGUGGCGCCAGCUGCAGCGCCGGGUAUCUAUGUUCGGCAGAGAUAAGCGCUGAAAGCAUCUAAGCGCGAAGCUCGCUCCAAGAUGAGAUUUUCUGGAACCGUAGAAGACUACUACGUGAUAGGUGGCAGGUGUAAAGGCAGUAAUGUCAAAGCCGAGCCAUACUAAUCGUUCCUUCGCUUUCU
RNAcentral lists this ribosomal RNA (2864 nucleotides) under Bacteroidota bacterium. RNAcentral's name for it is "23S ribosomal RNA". It matches the Rfam family "Bacterial large subunit ribosomal RNA". The record is from RNAcentral. Lineage: Bacteria; Pseudomonadati; Bacteroidota.